GGCAGAGCUUCUACACUUGUCCAUUCUUCAAUUCAAUAUCUCCCUAUCCUGUAAUUCGGUGCUGAAAAGUGUUUUUUGUUUUGAUCUUCAUCCGAUCUCUUCAUCUCCAUGUCGAUGCUUAACUCCUUCUUCAACAAGGGCUUCAGGGCUGCCCAAUGUAAAACACUGCUUAAAUUGACAAUUCCACGAAUAAAGCUGCUGAGGAAUCGAAGGGAGAUCCAGC
Molecule: unclassified non-coding RNA, 223 nt
Filed under: Hevea brasiliensis (rubber tree)
Lineage: Eukaryota; Viridiplantae; Streptophyta; Magnoliopsida; Malpighiales; Euphorbiaceae
Source: RNAcentral